CGCAGGGGGCAGCUUACACAUGCAGUCGAGCGGGGUGAUGGUGCUUGCACUAUCACCUAGCGGCGGACGGGUGAGUAAUGCUUAGGAAUCUGCCUAUUAGUGGGGGACAACAUUUCGAAAGGAAUGCUAAUACCGCAUACGUCCUACGGGAGAAAGCAGGGGAUCUUCGGACCUUGCGCUAAUAGAUGAGCCUAAGUCGGAUUAGCUAGUUGGUGGGGUAAAGGCCUACCAAGGCGACGAUCUGUAGCGGGUCUGAGAGGAUGAUCCGCCACACUGGGACUGAGACACGGCCCAGACUCCUACGGGAGGCAGCAGUGGGGAAUAUUGGACAAUGGGCGCAAGCCUGAUCCAGCCAUGCCGCGUGUGUGAAGAAGGCCUUAUGGUUGUAAAGCACUUUAAGCGAGGAGGAGGCUACUUUAGAUAAUACCUAGAGAUAGUGGACGUUACUCGCAGAAUAAGCACCGGCUAACUCUGUGCCAGCAGCCGCGGUAAUACAGAGGGUGCAAGCGUUAAUCGGAUUUACUGGGCGUAAAGCGCGCGUAGGCGGCUAAUUAAGUCAAAUGUGAAAUCCCCGAGCUUAACUUGGGAAUUGCAUUCGAUACUGGUUAGCUAGAGUGUGGGAGAGGAUGGUAGAAUUCCAGGUGUAGCGGUGAAAUGCGUAGAGAUCUGGAGGAAUACCGAUGGCGAAGGCAGCCAUCUGGCCUAACACUGACGCUGAGGUGCGAAAGCAUGGGGAGCAAACAGGAUUAGAUACCCUGGUAGUCCAUGCCGUAAACGAUGUCUACUAGCCGUUGGGGCCUUUGAGGCUUUAGUGGCGCAGCUAACGCGAUAAGUAGACCGCCUGGGGAGUACGGUCGCAAGACUAAAACUCAAAUGAAUUGACGGGGGCCCGCACAACCGGUGGAGCAUGUGGUUUAAUUCGAUGCAACGCGAAGAACCUUACCUGGCCUUGACAUAAUAAGAACUUUCCAGAGAUGGAAUGGUGGCGUUCGGGAACUUACAUACAGGUGCUGCAUGGCUGUCGUCAGCUCCGGUCCGGAGAUGUUGGGUUAGUUCCGCAACCAGCGGAAGCCUUUUCCUUAUUUGCUAGCAGUCAUGGCAGUACGUUAAGGAUUCUGCCAUUGACCACUUGUAAGAAUGCGGGGACGACGUCAAUUCAUUUUGGGCCCUUAGGGCCAGG
RNAcentral lists this ribosomal RNA (1180 nucleotides) under Acinetobacter sp. RNAcentral's name for it is "bacterial SSU rRNA". It matches the Rfam family "Bacterial small subunit ribosomal RNA", at positions 34 to 1212 of the family's 1533-position model. The record is from RNAcentral. Lineage: Bacteria; Pseudomonadati; Pseudomonadota; Gammaproteobacteria; Moraxellales; Moraxellaceae.